AACGCGAAGAACCUUACCUACUCUUGACAUCCAGAGAACUUAGCAGAGAUGCUUUGGUGCCUUCGGGAACUCUGAGACAGGUGCUGCAUGGCUGUCGUCAGCUCGUGUUGUGAAAUGUUGGGUUAAGUCCCGCAACGAGCGCAACCCUUAUCCUUUGUUGCCAGCGGUUAGGCCGGGAACUCAAAGGAGACUGCCAGUGAUAAACUGGAGGAAGGUGGGGAUGACGUCAAGUCAUCAUGGCCCUUACGAGUAGGGCUACACACGUGCUACAAUGGCGCAUACAAAGAGAAGCGACCUCGCGAGAGCAAGCGGACCUCAUAAAGUGCGUCGUAGUCCGGAUUGGAGUCUGCAACUCGACUCCAUGAAGUCGGAAUCGCUAGUAAUCGUAGAUCAGAAUGCUACGGUGAAUACGUUCCCGGGCCUUGUACACACCG
Molecule: ribosomal RNA, 434 nt
Filed under: uncultured bacterium
Lineage: Bacteria
Description: bacterial SSU rRNA
Rfam family: Bacterial small subunit ribosomal RNA
Source: RNAcentral